Strongylocentrotus purpuratus (purple sea urchin) is the source of this 316-nucleotide long non-coding RNA. RefSeq lists it as uncharacterized. The transcript is spliced from 3 exons. NCBI's taxonomy places the organism in Eukaryota, Metazoa, Echinodermata, Echinoidea, Camarodonta, Strongylocentrotidae. The record is from RefSeq and is a predicted model, not a curated record.
UCUAGGGAUUCUUCAUUGCUCUAUUCUACUGCUUUCUGAAUUCAGAGGUACGGCGUACAAUCCAAUCGAGCAUGCGCAAGACACGUGAUAGCCAGAACGCCUCUUUCACCAACUCGUCUGUUGAGAAGAAAACGCAGUCGUCUGCCACCAUGCGAAAGGUUCGCGUAAGUCCAGCCCCGCCUGAUUUUGACCCACCCAAGAUCUCCAAGAAGUGAAGAAGCACACCUGUCAGGCUGGAAUAUCAAGAACACGAUUACAACUGCUUUCGAAAUAUCAGCCUAAGGCAAUUCCAACAGUCUUGCGCCUCACCUGCUGU